GGAGACGUGGCCGAGAGGCUGAAGGCACUCGUUUGCUAAAUGAGCAUACCCCAUAAGGGUAUCGAGGGUUCGAAUCCCUCCGUCUCCG
This 88-nucleotide transfer RNA is filed under the name Allobosea sp. WAO. RNAcentral describes it as "Bosea sp. WAO tRNA". It matches the Rfam family "tRNA". From Rfam's summary of the family: Transfer RNA (tRNA) molecules are approximately 80 nucleotides in length. Their secondary structure includes four short double-helical elements and three loops (D, anti-codon, and T loops). The record is from Rfam by way of RNAcentral. Lineage: Bacteria; Pseudomonadati; Pseudomonadota; Alphaproteobacteria; Hyphomicrobiales; Alloboseaceae.